GAUGAACGCUAGCGGCAGGCUUAACACAUGCAAGUCGAGGGGCAGCGCGGGUAGCAAUACCUGGCGGCGACCGGCAAACGGGUGCGGAACACGUACAGAACCUACCUUUGUCUGGGGCAUAGCCCGAAGAAAUUCGGAUUAAAUCCCCAUAAUAUAGAGAAGUGGCAUCACUAUUCUAUUAAAAUUUAAUUGGACAGAGAUGGCUGUGCGUCCCAUUAGCAGUUGGUAGGGUAACGGCCUACCAAGGCGACGAUGGGUAGCUGGUGUGAGAGCACGACCAGCCACACGGGCACUGAGACACGGGCCCGGACUCCUACGGGAGGCAGCAGUGAGGAAUAUUGGUCAAUGGACGCAAGUCUGAACCAGCCAUGCCGCGUGAAGGAUGAAGGCCUUCU
This 395-nucleotide ribosomal RNA is filed under the name uncultured bacterium. RNAcentral's name for it is "bacterial SSU rRNA". It matches the Rfam family "Bacterial small subunit ribosomal RNA", at positions 28 to 420 of the family's 1533-position model. The record is from RNAcentral.